Non-coding RNA from Bos taurus (domestic cattle), 72 nucleotides. The record is from Rfam. NCBI's taxonomy places the organism in Eukaryota, Metazoa, Chordata, Mammalia, Artiodactyla, Bovidae.
CUCUUGGUGGUCCAGUGGUUAGGACUUGGCGCUUUCAUUGCUGGGGCCCAGGUUCAAUCCCCGGUCAGGGAA